Molecule: transfer RNA, 71 nt
Filed under: Lampris guttatus (North Atlantic opah)
Lineage: Eukaryota; Metazoa; Chordata; Actinopteri; Lampriformes; Lampridae
Also listed under: 1 other name
Description: tRNA-Val
Rfam family: tRNA
About the family: Transfer RNA (tRNA) molecules are approximately 80 nucleotides in length. Their secondary structure includes four short double-helical elements and three loops (D, anti-codon, and T loops). Further hydrogen bonds mediate the characteristic L-shaped molecular structure. tRNAs have two regions of fundamental functional importance: the anti-codon, which is responsible for specific mRNA codon recognition, and the 3' end, to which the tRNAs corresponding amino acid is attached (by aminoacyl-tRNA synthetases). tRNAs cope with the degeneracy of the genetic code in two manners: having more than one tRNA (with a specific anti-codon) for a particular amino acid; and 'wobble' base-pairing, i.e. permitting non-standard base-pairing at the 3rd anti-codon position.
Source: RNAcentral
CAAGAUGAAGCUAAGCAGUCAAGCAUCUCCCUUACACCGAGAAGUUGCUCGUGCAAAUCGAGCCACCUUGA